RNAcentral lists this ribosomal RNA (233 nucleotides) under uncultured bacterium. RNAcentral's name for it is "partial 16S ribosomal RNA". It matches the Rfam family "Bacterial small subunit ribosomal RNA", at positions 118 to 347 of the family's 1533-position model. The record is from RNAcentral.
UGAGCAAUCUGCCCUUCUCUUUGGAAUAAGCGUUGGAAACGACGUCUAAUGCCGAAUACGACCUCCUUUCGCAUGAUCGGAGGUGGAAAGCUCCGGCGGAGAAGGAUGAGCUCGCGGCCUAUCAGCUAGUUGGUGUGGGUAAUGGCCCACCAAGGCGACGACGGGUAGCCGGCCUGAGAGGGUGACCGGCCACACUGGGACUGAGACACGGCCCAGACUCCUACGGGAGNAGC